This 250-nucleotide ribosomal RNA is filed under the name Salmonella enterica subsp. enterica serovar Typhimurium. RNAcentral describes it as "partial 23S ribosomal RNA". It matches the Rfam family "Bacterial large subunit ribosomal RNA", at positions 1 to 242 of the family's 2925-position model. The record is from RNAcentral. Lineage: Bacteria; Pseudomonadati; Pseudomonadota; Gammaproteobacteria; Enterobacterales; Enterobacteriaceae.
GGGUUGUGAGGUUAAGCGACUAAGCGUACACGGUGGAUGCCUUGGCAGUCAGAGGCGAUGAAGGGCGUGCUAAUCUGCGAUAAGCGCCGGUAAGGUGAUAUGAACCGUUAUAACCGGCGAUACCCGAAUGGGGAAACCCAGUGUGACUCGUCACACUAUCAUUAACUGAAUCCAUAGGUUAAUGAGGCGAACCGGGGGAACUGAAACAUCUAAGUACCCCGAGGAAAAGAAAUCAACCGAGAUUCCCCCA